GACGAACGCUGGCGGCGUGCUUAACACAUGCAAGUCGAACGGAAAGGCCCCUUCGGGGGUACUCGGGUGGCGAACGGGUGAGUAACACGUGAGUAACCUGCCCUUGACUUCGGGAUAACUUCAGGAAACUGGGGCUAAUACCGGAUAGGAAUCCUUGCUGCAUGGUGGGGGUUGGAAAGCUUCGGCGGUUUUGGAUGGACUCGCGGCUUAUCAGCUUGUUGGUGGGGUAGUGGCUUACCAAGGCUUUGACGGGUAGCCGGCCUGAGAGGGCGACCGGCCACAUUGGGACUGAGAUACGGCCCAGACUCCUACGGGAGGCAGCAGUGGGGAAUAUUGCACAAUGGGCGGAAGCCUGAUGCAGCAACGCCGCGUGCGGGAUGACGGCCUUCGGGUUGUAAACCGCUUUCAGCAGGGGCGAAGCUUGUGGUGACGGUACCUGCAGAAGAAGCACCGGCUAACUACGUG
RNAcentral lists this ribosomal RNA (465 nucleotides) under uncultured bacterium. Its description in RNAcentral is "partial 16S ribosomal RNA". It matches the Rfam family "Bacterial small subunit ribosomal RNA", at positions 28 to 507 of the family's 1533-position model. The record is from RNAcentral.